GGGUCGUUAGCUCAGUCGGUAGAGCAGUCGCCUCUUAAGCGAACGGUCGCAGGUUCGAUUCCUGCACGACCCA
Molecule: transfer RNA, 73 nt
Filed under: Candidatus Kerfeldbacteria bacterium RIFCSPHIGHO2_02_FULL_42_14
Lineage: Bacteria; Candidatus Kerfeldiibacteriota
Also listed under: 3 other names
Description: tRNA-Lys
Rfam family: tRNA
About the family: Transfer RNA (tRNA) molecules are approximately 80 nucleotides in length. Their secondary structure includes four short double-helical elements and three loops (D, anti-codon, and T loops). Further hydrogen bonds mediate the characteristic L-shaped molecular structure. tRNAs have two regions of fundamental functional importance: the anti-codon, which is responsible for specific mRNA codon recognition, and the 3' end, to which the tRNAs corresponding amino acid is attached (by aminoacyl-tRNA synthetases). tRNAs cope with the degeneracy of the genetic code in two manners: having more than one tRNA (with a specific anti-codon) for a particular amino acid; and 'wobble' base-pairing, i.e. permitting non-standard base-pairing at the 3rd anti-codon position.
Source: RNAcentral